AGUGAACGCUGGCGGUAGGCCUAACACAUGCAAGUCGAACGGCAGCACAGUAAGAGCUUGCUCUUACGGGUGGCGAGUGGCGGACGGGUGAGGAAUACAUCGGAAUCUACUUUUUCGUGGGGGAUAACGUAGGGAAACUUACGCUAAUACCGCAUACGACCUACGGGUGAAAGCAGGGGAUCUUCGGACCUUGCGCGAUUGAAUGAGCCGAUGUCGGAUUAGCUAGUUGGCGGGGUAAAGGCCCACCAAGGCGACGAUCCGUAGCUGGUCUGAGAGGAUGAUCCGCCACCUUGGAACUGAGACACGGUCCAGACUCCUACGGGAGGCAGCAGUGGGGAAUAUUGGACAAUGGGCGCAAGCCUGAUCCAGCCAUACCGCGUGGGUGAAGAAGGCCUUCGGGUUGUAAAGCCCUUUUGUUGGGAAAGAAAAGCAGCAGGUUAAUACCCCGCUGUUCUGACGGUACCCAAAGAAUAAGCACCGGCUAACUUCGUG
RNAcentral lists this ribosomal RNA (492 nucleotides) under uncultured bacterium. RNAcentral describes it as "partial 16S ribosomal RNA". It matches the Rfam family "Bacterial small subunit ribosomal RNA", at positions 29 to 507 of the family's 1533-position model. The record is from RNAcentral.